RNAcentral lists this ribosomal RNA (521 nucleotides) under uncultured bacterium. RNAcentral's name for it is "bacterial SSU rRNA". It matches the Rfam family "Bacterial small subunit ribosomal RNA", at positions 15 to 518 of the family's 1533-position model. The record is from RNAcentral.
GAUCAUGGCUCAGGAUGAACGCUGGCGGCGUGCCUAAUACAUGCAAGUCGAGCGAACAGAUAAGGAGCUUGCUCCUUGACGUUAGCGGCGGACGGGUGAGUAACACGUGGGUAACCUACCUAUAAGACUGGGAUAACUUCGGGAAACCGGAGCUGAUACCGGAUAACAUUUGGAACCGCAUGGUUCUAAAGUGAAAGAUGGUUUUGCUAUCACUUAUAGAUGGACCCGCGCCGUAUUAGCUAGUUGGUAAGGUAACGGCUUACCAAGGCGACGAUACGUAGCCGACCUGAGAGGGUGAUCGGCCACACUGGAACUGAGACACGGUCCAGACUCCUACGGGAGGCAGCAGUAGGGAAUCUUCCGCAAUGGGCGAAAGCCUGACGGAGCAACGCCGCGUGAGUGAAUGAAGGGUUUCGGCUCGUAAAACUCUGUUAUUAGGGAAGAACAAAUGUGUAAGUAACUGUGCACGUCUUGACGGUACCUAAUCAGAAAGCCACGGCUAACUACGUGCCAGCCGCAGC